UACGUAGGGAGCGAGCGUUAUCCGGAUUCAUUGGGCGUAAAGCGCGCGUAGGCGGUCGCGUAAGCGGAACCUCUAAUCUUGGGGCUCAACCUCAAGCCGGGUUCCGAACUGCGCGACUCGAGUGUGGUAGGGGUGGAUGGAAUUCCCGGUGUAGCGGUGAAAUGCGCAGAUAUCGGGAAGAACACCGAUGGCGAAGGCAGUCCACUGGGCCAUCACUGACGCUGAGGUGCGAAAGCGUGGGGAGC
Molecule: ribosomal RNA, 245 nt
Filed under: uncultured Parvibacter sp.
Lineage: Bacteria; Bacillati; Actinomycetota; Coriobacteriia; Coriobacteriales; Coriobacteriaceae
Description: partial 16S ribosomal RNA
Rfam family: Bacterial small subunit ribosomal RNA
Source: RNAcentral